AGGUCCGGCCUGCCCACUGAGGGAUUAAAUGGCCGCGGUAUAUUGACCGUGCAAAGGUAGCAUAAUCAUUAGUUUUUUAAUUGAAAGCUUGAAUGAAAGGUUUGAUGAGAAAAAGACUGUCUCUGUGAAAGUUUAUUAGAAUUUUAUUUUUAAGUAAAAAAGCUUAAAUUUGUAUAGAAGACGAGAAGACCCUAUAGAGUUUUAUAUGCAUUGAGGAUAAAGGAUUUUUGGAUCUAUAGGUUUAUUUGCUAGGUGCGUAUUUGGUUGGGGUGAUAGAAAAAUUUAAUUAACUUUUUUUGGAGGUUGAACACUGAUUAGUGAUUAUAUGAUCCUAAAGUUUAGAUUAUAAGAUUAAAUUACCUUAGGGAUAACAGCGUAAUUUUUUUUAGAGUUCUUAUCGAAAAAAAUGUUUGCGACCUCGAUGUUGGAUUAAAAUUAAUUUUUGGCGUAGAAGCUGAAGGAUUGGGUCUGUUCGACCUUUAAAAUUUUACAUGAUCUGAGUUUAAACCGGUGUGAG
Molecule: ribosomal RNA, 517 nt
Filed under: Trigonopterus sp. 80 AR-2022a
Lineage: Eukaryota; Metazoa; Arthropoda; Insecta; Coleoptera; Curculionidae
Description: partial large subunit ribosomal RNA
Rfam family: Bacterial large subunit ribosomal RNA
Source: RNAcentral